Molecule: long non-coding RNA, 292 nt
Filed under: Chlamydomonas reinhardtii
Lineage: Eukaryota; Viridiplantae; Chlorophyta; Chlorophyceae; Chlamydomonadales; Chlamydomonadaceae
Description: long non-coding RNA (CREI_LNC001130)
Source: RNAcentral
UGCAUGCUGGACAUGGCGCCAUGCUAGCCAGUCCAACCGGGCGUACUGCCACCCCCCGACUCGCCCGCAAGCAUGCGGGCCGGGCGUUGUGGGUUCCAGCCGCUGCAGCUGAGGCACAUCUUCCUGCAAAUGAGGCGACAUUACACACGGUUCAGGCAAGACGGGUUUGCUAUAGGAAGGCCCAGGAGUUACCUGCCGAGACUAGCGCUGCUCGUUUGCGCUGUUGCCGUUUCUGCGCAGCGCAUUAGCAAUUUAUCAUAACGCACAAUUGAAGGUGUAGGAGCGAUGUCAC